AGUGAACGCUGGCGGCAUGCCUAACACAUGCAAGUCGAACGGUAACAGGCCCGCAAGGGUGCUGACGAGUGGCGGACGGGUGAGGAAUACAUCGGAAUUUGCCCAGUCGUGGGGGAUAACGUAGGGAAACUUACGCUAAUACCGCAUACGACCUAACGGUGAAAGCGGGGGACCUGCAAGGGCCUCGCGCGGAUGGAUAAGCCGAUGUCGGAUUAGCUAGUUGGCGGGGUAAGAGCCCACCAAGGCGACGAUCCGUAGCUGGUCUGAGAGGAUGAUCAGCCACACUGGGACUGAGACACGGCCCAGACUCCUACGGGAGGCAGCAGUGGGGAAUAUUGGACAAUGGGGGCAACCCUGAUCCAGCAAUGCCGCGUG
This 375-nucleotide ribosomal RNA is filed under the name uncultured bacterium. RNAcentral's name for it is "bacterial SSU rRNA". It matches the Rfam family "Bacterial small subunit ribosomal RNA", at positions 29 to 403 of the family's 1533-position model. The record is from RNAcentral.